This 208-nucleotide unclassified non-coding RNA is filed under the name Hevea brasiliensis (rubber tree). The record is from RNAcentral. Lineage: Eukaryota; Viridiplantae; Streptophyta; Magnoliopsida; Malpighiales; Euphorbiaceae.
CCAAUUAGCUACUCUUUUUGGAAAAUUAUUGUACGAGCCAUAGCACUAAAAAAUAAUAGUGCCCUCUUAAAAAUAAAAAGUCAGUUUUUCCUUAAUUUGAAAAAGAUGACACCUUAUAUUUAGAUAAAAAAAAUGCAUACACACUGAGUGCGCUCAAUAAUUUCAAUCACAAUUACUAUCACAUAAUCCUGAGCCUGAGAGAUUCAGG